Molecule: ribosomal RNA, 253 nt
Filed under: uncultured bacterium
Lineage: Bacteria
Description: partial 16S ribosomal RNA
Rfam family: Bacterial small subunit ribosomal RNA
Source: RNAcentral
UACAGAGGUGGCAAGCGUUGUUCGGAAUUACUGGGCGUAAAGGGCGCGUAGGCGGUCUUGUCAGUCCCUUGUGAAAUCUCCCCGCUCAACGGGGAGCAGCCAUUGGAAACUACAAGACUGGAGUCUGACAGAGGUAGGCGGAAUUCCGGGUGGAGUGGUGAAAUGCGUAGAGAUCCGGAGGAACACCAGAGGCGAAGGCGGCCUACUGGGUCAGUACUGACGCUGAGCCGCGAAAGCCAGGGGAGCGAACGGG